UACGAAGGGGGCUAGCGUUGCUCGGAAUUACUGGGCGUAAAGGGUGCGCAGGCGGCCAAGUGUGUUAGGCGUGAAAGCCCGGGGCUUAACCCCGGAAUUGCACCUAAAACUACAUGGCUAGAGCAUUGGAGAGGGUAGCGGAAUUCACGGUGUAGCAGUGAAAUGCGUAGAUAUCGUGAGGAACACCAGAGGCGAAGGCGGCUACCUGGACAAUUGCUGACGCUCAGGCACGAAAGCGUGGGGAGCAAAAGGG
Molecule: ribosomal RNA, 253 nt
Filed under: uncultured bacterium
Lineage: Bacteria
Description: partial 16S ribosomal RNA
Rfam family: Bacterial small subunit ribosomal RNA
Source: RNAcentral